Canis lupus familiaris (dog) is the source of this 101-nucleotide non-coding RNA. The record is from Rfam. Lineage: Eukaryota; Metazoa; Chordata; Mammalia; Carnivora; Canidae.
AUCUUUUUGUGGUUCAUAAGAUGAUGAAUAGGGUUUUCACACUAUGUGUGAGAUGUAGCUACCUCAAAUCUUGUGACAGUAACAACAUGUUACAUUAGAAA